UCCGGUUUGUCACCGGCAGUCUCAUUAGAGUGCUCUUUCGUAGCAACUAAUGACAAGGGUUGCGCUCGUUGCGGGACUUGACCCAACAUCUCACGACACGAGCUGACGACGGCCAUGCAGCACCUGUGUUACGGCUCUCUUUCGAGCACAACCAAAUCUCUUCGGUCUUCCGUACAUGUCAAGGGUAGGUAAGGUUUUUCGCGUUGCAUCGAAUUAAUCCACAUGCUCCACCGCUUGUGCGGGCCCCCGUCAAUUCUUUUGAGUUUUAGCCUUGCGGCCGUACUCCCCAGGCGGAACACUUAUCGCGUUGGCUGCGGCACAGACAGAUUCGACUCCGCCCACACCUAGUGUUCAUCGUUUACGGCGUGGACUAC
Molecule: unclassified non-coding RNA, 374 nt
Filed under: uncultured bacterium
Lineage: Bacteria
Description: contains 16S-23S intergenic spacer region
Source: RNAcentral